Molecule: non-coding RNA, 191 nt
Filed under: Lutispora thermophila
Lineage: Bacteria; Bacillati; Bacillota; Clostridia; Lutisporales; Lutisporaceae
Also listed under: 1 other name
Source: RNAcentral
CUCAAUAGAAUAAGUUUUGGUGCCUUGGGAUAUUAUACGUACCGAGGUUAAAAGGGAAAGCAGUGAGAAGCUGCUGCAGCCCCCGCUACUGUAUAUGGGGAUGAAAUCCAACUUAGCCAUUGGGAGACCGAGAAGGCUGGAGAGUAAGAUGAACCAUGAGCCAGGAAACCUGCCAAAUGCUAUGUUCAACC